UUAAUUAGGCGAUAGAUUCUGAUUGAUAGGGAAAAAAAAGUGAAUGAAUAUUCUAUAU
RNAcentral lists this small RNA (58 nucleotides) under Arabidopsis thaliana (thale cress). Its description in RNAcentral is "ATSL064990". The record is from RNAcentral. Lineage: Eukaryota; Viridiplantae; Streptophyta; Magnoliopsida; Brassicales; Brassicaceae.